CAUGCCUUACACAUGCAAGUCGAACGGUAACAGGUCUUCGGACGCUGACGAGUGGCGACGGGUGAGUAAUACAUCGGAACGUGCCCAGUCGUGGGGGAUAACUACUCGAAAGAGUAGCUAAUACCGCAUACGAUCUGAGGAUGAAAGCGGGGGACCUUCGGGCCUCGCGCGAUUGGAGCGGCCGAUGGCAGAUUAGGUAGUUGGUGGGAUAAAAGCUUACCAAGCCGACGAUCUGUAGCUGGUCUGAGAGGACGACCAGCCACACUGGGACUGAGACACGGCCCAGACUCCUACGGGAGGCAGCAGUGGGGAAUUUUGGACAAUGGGCGAAAGCCUGAUCCAGCAAUGCCGCGUGCAGGAUGAAGGCCUUCGGGUUGUAAACUGCUUUUGUACGGAACGAAAAAGCUCCUUCUAAUACAGGGGGCCCAUGACGGUACCGUAAGAAUAAGCACCGGCUAACUACGUGCCAGCAGCCGCGGUAAUACGUAGGGUGCAAGCGUUAAUCGGAAUUACUGGGUGUAAAGCGUGCGCAGGCGGUUAUGUAAGACAGAUGUGAAAUCCCCGGGCUCAACCUGGGAACUGCAUUUGUGACUGCAUGGCUAGAGUACGGUAGAGGGGGAUGGAAUUCCGCGUGUAGCAGUGAAAUGCGUAGAUAUGCGGAGGAACACGAUGGCGAAGGCUAUCCCCUGGACCUGUACUGACGCUCAUGCACUAAAACGUGGGGAGCAAACAAGAUUAGA
RNAcentral lists this ribosomal RNA (740 nucleotides) under uncultured bacterium. RNAcentral's name for it is "bacterial SSU rRNA". It matches the Rfam family "Bacterial small subunit ribosomal RNA", at positions 43 to 782 of the family's 1533-position model. The record is from RNAcentral.